Molecule: RNA transcript, 2505 nt
Organism: Girardinichthys multiradiatus
Lineage: Eukaryota; Metazoa; Chordata; Actinopteri; Cyprinodontiformes; Goodeidae
Exons: 6
Source: RefSeq, a predicted model, not a curated record
UCCUCUGCAGUGUCUGUUGGACCACUUCCUAUGUAUCAGCCUCAGUUUAAUUAUGACACUCAAACUAAAACCUUGUGAUGCCGCUCACAGUAUUUGAACUUUGUUUUAAUGAGCUGUGAUGAUGGUGCGACCACAGAGGGAGUCUUUUUGAUUAGCUUGAUUCUGUCUUCAUUUAUGCAGAGACAUGACUUCAUCACUUGGAAACGUCUGGGUUUGUAUAUUUUUUCUGAUUUACUGGUCCACCUGCUUUCUCCCAGUAAAUGCAGUGCAUCAGCUUCGUGCCUUGCUGGGAUGUCGAGUACUGAUACCUUGUCAUGAUCGCAGUGCUGACUCAGACUCUUUCAAAUGGUUUUACAAGGAGAAUGAGCUCAGUAAAGGAACCCAGCUAUACUUUCAGAAUAAGAAUGGAGUAAAACACUAUGAUACCGGUCGUCCAAAAGUAGACAUCAUGCCAAAUCGCUCCCUGUCCAUCAAUAAAUUUACUGAUAAAGAUCAGGGCACGUACUGGUGUGAAAACUGUCUUCAAGAUGUCUGCAAGAGCAACCUGUCCAACUUCACUACUGUGAAGAGAGAAAUUCUGAAAGAAAUUCAAAAGGCAUUUUACAUCAUUUCAGGCAGGAGUUUCACUCAUCAAUGCCCAGGUGAAUUUUCUAAUUUAAAUUGGACUUUUGAAGCCACUAAUAUGAACAAAAGGAAAUUAGAACAAAGAUCAAAAAUGGUCACCCUUAAUACCAGCAAGAUAUUGCAUAUUGAACACGUCACAAAUACAAAUUCUGGCAAAUACACUUGCUGGGCGAGUAUCUGUGGUGGCCCGAGUCAAAAACUGAUCACUAUCAACUUAUGUGUCAUCACAGGUGAGGAAAUGAUAUUUUUUUCCGAAAUAUUUUAUUGGUUGAAAAAUGUUUAUUUUACACUAUUGUCUUUCUCUCAAGAUACUUCAAGUCUUCUGAUGAGGAAUCGAACAAUAUCAGUAGACGAGGACCCAUCGGGGUGGUUAAUCUGCAAUUUAAGUUUGAACUUGGAUGGGCACAUAACAACUACCGGUAUCUACACAUCAUUAGCCGCUUUAAACACAACAGUGGUGGGUUGCGAGGAAGCUGGUGCCUAUCUCCAGCAGUCUAUGGGCGAGAGGCAGGGUACACCAUGGACAAGUCGCCAGUCUGUCGCAGGGCAACUAAAUGUUGUAUUUUUCUCAAAUUUUCACUGUUAUAUAUUUAGGGUUUUUGCACAUCUUUACAGCAAUGCUAGCAAAUAUGUCAAUGUCUGUAUGUUAUAUAAAGAUUGCUUCUUACUGAGUUUUAUUUUUUACAGGUGUAUCUGAGAAGAUUGACUAUUUUAUGCCAGUUAUUUAUGGAGUAUCAGUUGCCUUAACAUUUUUUAUUUUACUGGGAAUUUUAACUUUCUAUUUGAAAUCAAGAAUACAAGCUGCAUUUCCUUUUCAUCUUGCACGUUGCUUCACUGGUGAGGCAGAAGAGGAGUCCACCGUAAUUUAUGGAUCUGUUAUCAUCAGGACACCGCCAAAAACAAGAAACCAACACACAUAUGUCAGCGAUUGCAUUUAUAGUGAAUUAAAAGUGUAGAGGAAAUACCCCGGGUUAAGACAAAUACUAAAUGGAACAGUUGGUGAUUGUAAUUUCCACACAAUCAGUAAAUUUUGUAACGGAUUCCACAGCAGUGACUUGUGUCACUGGUGUCUUCUUUUUCCAGUUUUCUACUGGAAACUACUGAAUGACUGAUGGUUGAGUAAUUCCCAGAGGUUAAUUGAGAGACUGCCGUACGUUAAUAUUUCAGUCAGCACAGCGAAGGGCAACUACUUUAAGGAAUCUAAACUAUAAAACAUAUAAGUUCUUUUACAAUUUUUAGUUUGCUACAUAAUUCCAUUUGUGUUCAUUCACAGUGUUAAUGCCUUUAGUGAGAAUUUACAUACAAUUUAAAUAGUCAUAAGCAUAAAGAAAACCAUUAAAUGAGAAAGUGUGUCUAAAACAUUUGACUGCUAGUGUAUAGAAAGACAAGACAGGCUAUGUAUAUACAGUAUAUAUGCAUAUGUACAUAUACUACUUGAUAAGUAGUAUGUAUAUUAUUGACAAUAAAAGGUAUCCAUUACUAACUCCUGUAGAUAAUAUUCCCAAAAAAUGUUUAACUGAGUAAGAUUACUCAUGCUUGAGUAAACCCAUUCAUGCUACCUACAUUAUUAUUGCAAUCAAUAUUGUUAUGAUAAUAUUAUUAUUAUUACCCUUUAUAAGGUAUAAUUUUCUGCACUUUGCUGUAUUUAAUACACAAUGUACAUACUAUCCCAGUUUUGUUCUUGUUUUGUUUUUAAAAGGGCCCUUGUACAUGACAAAAUUGCAAUAAUGAAUGUAUUUUAUUUUAUUUUCUGUUGUUUGGUUUGUAAAAUGCUGGCACUACACAGUAAUUGAAGUGGCUUUAAAUGAAAACUUAAGUCACUGCAAAAUGAAAAUGAAGAAAAGAGAGACUGGAAUAAAGAUUUGUUGAGAAAACCAACUA